This 506-nucleotide ribosomal RNA is filed under the name fungal endophyte. RNAcentral's name for it is "eukaryotic LSU rRNA". The stretch from base 159 to 312 matches the Rfam family "5.8S ribosomal RNA". Lineage: Eukaryota; Fungi. The record is from RNAcentral.
GGCCACCUCCCACCCUUGUCUCUAUACACCUGUUGCUUUGGCGGGCCCACCGGGGCCACCUGGUCGCCGGGGGACGCACGUCCCCGGGCCCGCGCCCGCCGAAGCGCUCUGUGAACCCUGAUGAAGAUGGGCUGUCUGAGUACUAUGAAAAUUGUCAAAACUUUCAACAAUGGAUCUCUUGGUUCCGGCAUCGAUGAAGAACGCAGCGAAAUGCGAUAAGUAAUGUGAAUUGCAGAAUUCCGUGAAUCAUCGAAUCUUUGAACGCACAUUGCGCCCCCUGGCAUUCCGGGGGGCAUGCCUGUCCGAGCGUCAUUUCUGCCCUCAAGCACGGCUUGUGUGUUGGGUGUGGUCCCCCCGGGGACCUGCCCGAAAGGCAGCGGCGACGUCCGUCUGGUCCUCGAGCGUAUGGGGCUCUGUCACUCGCUCGGGAAGGACCUGCGGGGGUUGGUCACCACCAUAUUUUACCACGGUUGACCUCGGAUCAGGUAGGACUUACCCGCUGAACU